GCCGAGGUGGUGGAAUAGGUAGACACGCCAUCUUGAGGGGGUGGUGGGCGCAAGCCCGUAGGAGUUCAAAUCUCCUCCUCGGCACCA
Molecule: transfer RNA, 87 nt
Filed under: Dehalococcoidales bacterium
Lineage: Bacteria; Bacillati; Chloroflexota; Dehalococcoidia; Dehalococcoidales
Also listed under: 2 other names
Description: tRNA-Leu
Rfam family: tRNA
About the family: Transfer RNA (tRNA) molecules are approximately 80 nucleotides in length. Their secondary structure includes four short double-helical elements and three loops (D, anti-codon, and T loops). Further hydrogen bonds mediate the characteristic L-shaped molecular structure. tRNAs have two regions of fundamental functional importance: the anti-codon, which is responsible for specific mRNA codon recognition, and the 3' end, to which the tRNAs corresponding amino acid is attached (by aminoacyl-tRNA synthetases). tRNAs cope with the degeneracy of the genetic code in two manners: having more than one tRNA (with a specific anti-codon) for a particular amino acid; and 'wobble' base-pairing, i.e. permitting non-standard base-pairing at the 3rd anti-codon position.
Source: RNAcentral